AGCUUACCUCCCCAUGGAAAAUGCUGCAUUAAGUCUGUGUACAGUAAAUACACUAAGUCCUUUGAGCAAGAACUACUCUAACUUAAUAUAAAAACACACAAGUUCGCACGAGGACUUUAAAGAAUCAAUGGAAGUUCCUUGUAAAAGCAUGUCCAGUUUUUGAACAAUUCAUCACUCCUGUGGUGGUUAAUGAUGUCACUAAG
This 203-nucleotide long non-coding RNA is filed under the name Cicer arietinum (chickpea). RNAcentral's name for it is "long non-coding RNA (CARI_LNC003302)". Lineage: Eukaryota; Viridiplantae; Streptophyta; Magnoliopsida; Fabales; Fabaceae. The record is from RNAcentral.